RNAcentral lists this ribosomal RNA (274 nucleotides) under uncultured bacterium. RNAcentral's name for it is "partial 16S ribosomal RNA". It matches the Rfam family "Bacterial small subunit ribosomal RNA", at positions 523 to 796 of the family's 1533-position model. The record is from RNAcentral.
AUACGGAGGGUGCAAGCGUUACUCGGAAUCACUGGGCGUAAAGCGCGCGCAGGCGGUCUUUUAAGUUGGAUGUGAAAGCCUACGGCUCAACCGUAGAACUGCAUCCAAAACUGUCGGGCUAGAGUCUGGGAGGGGAAGAUGGAAUUAGUUGUGUAGGGGUAAAAUCCGUAGAGAUAACUAGGAAUACCAAAAGCGAAGGCGAUCUUCUGGAACAGUACUGACGCUGAGGCGCGAAAGCGUGGGGAGCAAACAGGAGUAGAAACCCUAGUAGUCC